Molecule: long non-coding RNA, 8729 nt
Filed under: Zea mays
Lineage: Eukaryota; Viridiplantae; Streptophyta; Magnoliopsida; Poales; Poaceae
Description: long non-coding RNA (ZMAY_LNC004817)
Source: RNAcentral
AGCAUCCCCUUUGCAAGAUUGCAUAAAAGAGGGAGCAACAGAGUAUAAACAUAUAUCAUGACUAAAACAUACUAAGUAUUAUUACUCGGCCAGCAAGGAAAGAUAAACAUACGACCUGAACUGAAUUAACCAGUGCGCACGACCAUAUAAAAAAAAUAAACAAACUUCCUUUGACAAAAAGUUUCUAAUUAAAUCAUGGCUGCGCCUGGGCAGCGUUAUUGUGAGAGUGAAAGUGGACGUGCUGCUACUCCCCUCAUUCCCAACAUGUAUCAAGUACCUGCAUUGAGUAAUGCAAGAGUGAGAUGACACAUCUCAGCAAGUAAAAUAAUAUCAAACAGUUUAACCACAUAAGAACAUUGUUUUACCACCACUUGAUUCCACAACCUUCUUAUUACGAAGGUGCAGCACGUAUACAACGUACAACGCACCUAGUUACCACACCUCGCAGGUAGAAACCACAAUAGUAACAUAGUAAUGUCACACUUCAUAUAUUUCCUCAUGAGUGCAAAUGUCUGCAAAUGCAAGGAUGACUUCUGCCUUCAUACCUCUAAGGAUAUGAAGCCGCAUCGUACCCCUCCUCGGGCAACGUACGAUGCUAAAAAUGUACCGGUACGGUCGGACCAUAAGAUCACGACAUCACUUCAAAAUGCAAGAUGGAUGAUGCGAUGUGCAUGUCAUGCCUACAACACUUCAUAUAACAUGAUUCAAAAAGACACUUCAACUUCAUCCAGAUGGGAAUCAACCACAUAUAUCAUUACCAAAUUAUGAUCAUCCACAAUAUUAGACAAUUGAGAAUUAAUACUUCCAAACAAAUAAACUUCAUCAUAGAAUUCAAUGAUUAACAUAAUUAAAACUUAUGCAUACUCAAUGACAGGGAAUAGGAUGCAAACCAAACGGUAGCAACCACCACUGUAUUUACUUGCCUUUACCGGAAGUUCGGGCAAAUCCCUAAGUACGAUCCGGAAGUCCACCACCUGCUUUUCACACCCAGCUUAGUACACCAAUUUCACAUAAUCAGGCCCAUAAGCGACGCCGCACCUACGCACAACUCAAACCCCGCCGCGGGUUACAUCUCUCCCUACACCCACCAAACUGCAGCGGCGCUGCUUAAUAAUUUCAUAACUUUAAAAUUAUGACAGCAGUGGUAACAAACAAAAACUCCAGAGGCAUCUACAUAAAAUUCCCCACAAGUUUUGUAUACAAUUUAUAAUUAAAUUCCAAUAUCUAAUUAGCCCAAAACAGUCCACAAGAUGAACCCUGUAAUCUGUUUUUCUUUGUCUUUUAGACAGCGACAUACCCAGAUUCAAACAGCGAUAUCUUUUAAAAUAUAAUUCCAAAUCAAGCGCAUAAGUACUCAUUGGAAAGAUAAGACAAAUCCCUACAUGAUUACCAUACUGGUUAACACUAAUUACCCACGAAAAAUUCCCAGAAACUGCUAAUACCACUGCUGUUCACCCACCUGAAAAAUCUGUUUUUUUUGGACAGCAACAUAACCGGAUUCAAACAACGAUAUCUCCUGAAUUAUAACUCCGAAUCGAGCGCAUAAGUACUUGUUGGAAAGAUAACAUAAAGCCCUACAUGAUUCUCAUACUGAUUAACACUAAUUACUCCCGAAAAAUCCCCAGAAACUGCUAAUACUGCUGCUGUUCAUCCCCCUGAAAAUCUGUUUCUUUGGACAGCCACAUACCCGGAUUCAAACGGUGAUAACUUUCAAUUUAUAACUCCAAAUUGAGCGCAUAAAUACUCGUUGGAAAGGUAAGGUAAAGUUCUACAUGAUCCCCAAACUGAUUUCCCUUAAUUCCUCACGAAAAAAACACAGAAACUGCUAGACUACUGCUGUUCACCCACCACCUAAAAUUCUGGACAGCCCCCCUCUACCCAAUCGCAAACGCAACCUCUAAUCAAUUAAAUUGCAGCGCAAAUGAACAAGGGAUGAACACAAAAAUCACCUUGGAUUCUCCCCCUUUCCUUCCUCCCUUCUUCCCUCCACCAAAACGAUUGAAGACUCGCACCACGACGACGAUGAUCCGAGCGGCAAGGAUUGUCACCUUGGGAGGAGGGGAUUGGGGGGGGGGGGCUAGGGUUUGGUGGCUGCAAGAAUGGAGAGAGGAGGAGAUAGGCAGGGGGGCGGCGGCCAAGGGGGGAGAGAAGUGGGGGGGCGGCUGCACAUGGGGGGAGGGGGUUAGGAGGGAGGCGGCUAGGGUUUGGGAGGGUUAAUGGGCCGAAACUCCAAUUGCGGCCCAACUAACCCACGCGACAGCUCCCGACCGCAACGCAAGCGUCAAAUCAAAUAAAUUCUACUGCCCUAGUUGUGAAUGUUUUCCACAAAAUCCCAAAUCCCCAAAACAACAACCGGAUGAGGAAAAAAACAAAAAGAACAACCCCCAACUUCUCUUCUUUGCAAAUCGGGUAUCACACUCUACCCCUCUUAAAAAGAAUUCGACCUCGAAUUCUGACGCUUCUAUCGGAACAACAAAAGAAAGGUUAAUGAAUCAACAAAACUCACACAUAAAGAAAAGUUCGAGUACUUCUGCCGCAUCAGCUCCUCAAGCUCCUAGGAUUCUAAGAUACGCAGCAGACGACACUCUAGAGUCUGCUCUUGCUACACAGGAAUCGGCUCUAGCUCGAUUUGAUGGUCUGGAUUCCGCAAAUACUUCCUCAACAAAAAGACAUGGAAUACUUGGUGUACUCUGAUCACAGAUUCCGACAAUUACAUGUGCUAAGCCCAGCUGCCAACUCGGCCAAGAUAGCAGACGGUCCUAUAUACCUCGGACCAAGCUUUCCUGACACCAAAUCAAUCAUUGACAUAUGCAAGUACUUCAAGGAAUGUAUAUAUGAAUGCAAGGCAUAUAAUGUUCCUAUAGGCUAAACCAAACUUAGCCACACAAGAGCAACUUCAAGAGAGCAACUUAAUGCUUGCAUAUUUCUAGAUAGCAGCACAACGGUUAAUUGUUUUGCUCCUAAGUCACAAAAAUAUGCAUCGAAAAUUAGUAAACUAGGACUUUAUGGAAAACUUAUAAAGUCCACUAUACCCUUGGUAUUAUCAUCACAACAAGAUUUGACACUUAGAAAGGUCAAACAGUGCUAAACGUAAAUUCUGUCCAGACUUGGACAUAAUUCAACUACUCAAUUCAAAAAUCCAUAAUUGGAGUCUCAAUCAUCCAAUUUAGGAGCUCCCAGACUUUUUAGAAAGCUAGUAGAAUUGUCUAUAAUUCAUUUAUAAACAUAUCAAGUUAAUUCAAUGCAUAUUAAGGUCAAAAGACACGAGAAAGGCUCUGCUGUCCAAAUUUGGACAGAUUCAGAGAUCACACUUAAAACAGCUGUAACUUAACUUAUAGAUCUCCAAAAAAAAUUAAUCCAAAAUUUGUUGUAACGAUUAAGAAAAGUACUACAACUUAUUUAUAAUUUAUAAAUAGUUAUUCGAAGUUUAAAUUGGGCAAACCAAGGUCAGCUUCGAAAUCUGUAUAGAAUCUGCACAGAUUUCAAGACUAGACUUGAGAAAAUCAUAACUCCCAAACUACUAGACCUAUGGUCAUGAAAUUUUUACACAAGUAAGAUAAAGAAGUUGGCUACAACUUUUAUAAAUAACAUCUCUCCAGAAAAGAUGGUUUACUUCACUGAACUAGCUGCAUAACUAAAAUUGGUCAUGCAGUCCCAAUAGCAAGCAAUAGAUUUUAUCAGGUUCAUUACUCUUCUAAGAUUAAGCGUUCAUUGAAAGACUAAUAACUUUAGGUUCUUCAUUACGAGACACCUAGAACAAAUAUAAGUAUAGAAGCAAUAUGAUAACCUUUUAAAUCAUUUAAGCCUAAUCUCACAUCAUGCAAACAAGAAUCAAUUUAAGCAUGUUAUGUCUGCCCACAUAUUCAUCCAAGCACAUUCUAUACAUGAUAUCAUAACUCCCUGUAGCUAACAAAAUUUUGCAAAUAUAAACUCACUAAAAAGAUUAUAACAUUCCCUAGAACUUUUAUUAUAAUGAGUGUCUCGGAAUUGGUUUCCAAACCGAUAAAACAAUGCAACUCUUUUGUUUCAAAACUGAUAAGAUUGAAACAAUGGACAACUAAAAUUCAAAAACCUAUAACUCCUGCUAUACUCAACUUAAACUACAACGAACACGCGUUGGAAAAGUUUUGAAAAUUGUCCACGACUUUUGCAAUAAAGUUGCACCCAAAUUUAUCCUUAUAGCCCACAACUUUGCAUGACCUACAGCUAAACUCAUCCUGAGAUACUGCACAUUAGAGAUUCGACUUAUAUCCGGGCAACCACCUCUCCAAAUCUAUUUAACAGACAGUUACAAGUAAAUACCCAUUAAAAGGGUACUGAAAAUACCUACAAGUUUUGCUUAAAGAGAAUUCGCAAAUUUGUGCUCUGCAACUAUCAAAACGCGGUCGAUUUAUUGGUGAUUAUAACGACGCCUAAAGUUCAGACACAACAGUGCAACAACUUCAGAGCAACCUAACUCCAAUUAUAUGCAAUGAGAAUUAGAAACCCAUACUCUUUGAAAAGAUCAUGAAAUUACUAAAACUUUCAUAAUCCACAAAGACCAAAUUAUACCGUCUUCAAUGUCUACUCUUCCGUACAAAAUUAAAGACUCACUCUGCUAGAGACACCAACAAAGAUGUUUUAAGAAACCCAUAUCUCUCAAAUGUUUAGACCAAACAUGGUGAUUAAGCAUCCUAUGGAAAGAUGCAGAAACAUACUACAAAACAUUCUAGAUAAGUGAAGCAUGAUUCAGCCUCCAACUAAUUUAAAAUGCCUCCCGAAACCAAACAACACAUUAUCAACAAUAAUAAAAAACAAUAUAAAAUGAAACCCAAGUCAAUGGCAGGUGCCAUCAACACUAGGAUUUUCCACUACCAAACUGGGAUGCAACUCCACAAAGUCUUUAAAUAACACUCUACCAAAUAGGUUAGAACACUAAGCACAACAAUCAAUGAAUUCAACAACCUCGUUUGUUAAUGCCACUAAGGUCAAACAUCCAUGUACCGACAAUGUAUGAAACACCUGACAUACCCGUCUCUAGCUCUAUAAAACAUGGUUGUUAUUACACAAGAAUCCAACUACUAGAAGUCUCCAAAACUAUUCUGUUGACGUGAAGCAAAUGGUGCUCAUGUCAUAUAACAUCUUUUCCCCCUCUCAAAAGAGAUAAAAUUUGCAAUACUCAUAAAGCAAUGGAGGGAUAACAACAAGAAAAACCUAAUGUACUUCUUGACACAGACUCAUGCAAAAGCUUCAUAAAUAUUACUUUCAACACUAAAAUAAUAACACGAUACUAUGCUCAACAGGAGUAAUUGGACUUCAAUAAGAUAAUCCACCUAACCCAACUACUUUGAUUAACCUCACAUACAACAAUACCUCCUAUUAUUGCACUUGAACAAUUUGUACCUAGUGAUGUCAUAGGAUGAAUUCAAUGUAGUAGACAUACAUGAUCUAUCAAACCAUCAUUCAUAUAAUAAAAAUCUCCAUCUAAUGCAACAGCCACAUCAUUAUAGAGGUAGAUGACUAACAAACAUAAGCAACUUCCAGUUAAACAUUGACUUUGUUUAAGAUAAAGCGGUCCAAAUAAUAAUUCCACAAGCAUGCAUAGAGAACUGAUCAUAUAAAAAAAACUACCAUGUAUCAUCGGCGAUUAAAAACAAUAUAAAACGGGUUGUCCAUAUCGUCCGCACGACUAGCCUCCAACAAAUAAAAAUUAUGCAUAACCUUUUUGCUAUAGAAACAAACCAUAGAAGGAAAAUAUGCAUGCCUCUUCAACUAUAAUAUAGACAUAAAAUCCACUUGAAAUCACCCUAUUUAUUAUUAAAGAUAAGGUUGCACACAAUAAGAAAACCUAUCAUGUAAACAUGGUUGGACUUAUCUACCCACGUCAUCUUGCAAAUUCACUUGAGUUCUUCUAGUCUCAAGAUUUCAUAGACAGUACAACAUUGCCUUUGCUCUAUGGAGACAAACCUAUUGUACUCUAAGAUCAAGUUGGCAAGUAGCCACACUAGCCAAAAAAAAAGGUGAGGUGUAAAGCACUGCACCCAUGGAAAUAUUACAUUGAUAAGUUGGGUUGUAACCCAACAGUCAAUCAAACUCAACAACACCAUAAAACUUCAUUGUAUAGUGUUUUCACACUACACCAAGUCGGAUUAGAUCCUCUAUACACAAGCUCAAUAAACAAUCGGUCCUACAAGUACUAGAACCCAAGAAUCCUUUUGGGAAAAAAACAUCCACAGUCAAGCAUAUAGAAAUAUAUGAUGGUAAUAGCUCAGAGAUUAGUAAACAUUGCAUCCCAAACAACAUCAUGACGAUAUGUACAUAAAACAAGUACAUUAGUAGCUUCACUUGCAUAAUAAUUUCAAUAACAACCACAUAAAGAAACCAAUAUUAAAUAGAAGUAACAUUUCAUAUCAAGCAUUACGUCGUUAACGACAUACCUCAUCAAACCAUAAAGGGGUUUGGAGUAAGGAAAUUCUAGUCAUCUAUACAAUAAAAUACUAAUAUGAAAGAUAUAUGAACCCAUACCCUUCCUAUAUGUGCAAGUGUGUCAAAUUUAUCUUCAAAUUGCGUAGAAUCUAAAGCCUAUCCUCUGAUACCAACUGUAACACUCCAUGGUUCCACAAACAACCCGGAAUGCUACUGUACUACACUUCCGACGUCCAUAUAUAAAAUUUCGGCAGCAUCCCCUUUGCAAGAUUGCAUAAAAGAGGGAGCAACAGAGUAUAAACAUAUAUCAUGACUAAAACAUACUAAGUAUUAUUACUCGGCCAGCAAGGAAAGAUAAACAUACGACCUGAACUGAAUUAACCAGUGCGCACGACCAUAUAAAAAAAAUAAACAAACUUCCUUUGACAAAAAGUUUCUAAUUAAAUCAUGGCUGCGCCUGGGCAGCGUUAUUGUGAGAGUGAAAGUGGACGUGCUGCUACUCCCCUCAUUCCCAACAUGUAUCAAGUACCUGCAUUGAGUAAUGCAAGAGUGAGAUGACACAUCUCAGCAAGUAAAAUAAUAUCAAACAGUUUAACCACAUAAGAACAUUGUUUUACCACCACUUGAUUCCACAACCUUCUUAUUACGAAGGUGCAGCACGUAUACAACGUACAACGCACCUAGUUACCACACCUCGCAGGUAGAAACCACAAUAGUAACAUAGUAAUGUCACACUUCAUAUAUUUCCUCAUGAGUGCAAAUGUCUGCAAAUGCAAGGAUGACUUCUGCCUUCAUACCUCUAAGGAUAUGAAGCCGCAUCGUACCCCUCCUCGGGCAACGUACGAUGCUAAAAAUGUACCGGUACGGUCGGACCAUAAGAUCACGACAUCACUUCAAAAUGCAAGAUGGAUGAUGCGAUGUGCAUGUCAUGCCUACAACACUUCAUAUAACAUGAUUCAAAAAGACACUUCAACUUCAUCCAGAUGGGAAUCAACCACAUAUAUCAUUACCAAAUUAUGAUCAUCCACAAUAUUAGACAAUUGAGAAUUAAUACUUCCAAACAAAUAAACUUCAUCAUAGAAUUCAAUGAUUAACAUAAUUAAAACUUAUGCAUACUCAAUGACAGGGAAUAGGAUGCAAACCAAACGGUAGCAACCACCACUGUAUUUACUUGCCUUUACCGGAAGUUCGGGCAAAUCCCUAAGUACGAUCCGGAAGUCCACCACCUGCUUUUCACACCCAGCUUAGUACACCAAUUUCACAUAAUCAGGCCCAUAAGCGACGCCGCACCUACGCACAACUCAAACCCCGCCGCGGGUUACAUCUCUCCCUACACCCACCAAACUGCAGCGGCGCUGCUUAAUAAUUUCAUAACUUUAAAAUUAUGACAGCAGUGGUAACAAACAAAAACUCCAGAGGCAUCUACAUAAAAUUCCCCACAAGUUUUGUAUACAAUUUAUAAUUAAAUUCCAAUAUCUAAUUAGCCCAAAACAGUCCACAAGAUGAACCCUGUAAUCUGUUUUUCUUUGUCUUUUAGACAGCGACAUACCCAGAUUCAAACAGCGAUAUCUUUUAAAAUAUAAUUCCAAAUCAAGCGCAUAAGUACUCAUUGGAAAGAUAAGACAAAUCCCUACAUGAUUACCAUACUGGUUAACACUAAUUACCCACGAAAAAUUCCCAGAAACUGCUAAUACCACUGCUGUUCACCCACCUGAAAAAUCUGUUUUUUUUGGACAGCAACAUAACCGGAUUCAAACAACGAUAUCUCCUGAAUUAUAACUCCGAAUCGAGCGCAUAAGUACUUGUUGGAAAGAUAACAUAAAGCCCUACAUGAUUCUCAUACUGAUUAACACUAAUUACUCCCGAAAAAUCCCCAGAAACUGCUAAUACUGCUGCUGUUCAUCCCCCUGAAAAUCUGUUUCUUUGGACAGCCACAUACCCGGAUUCAAACGGUGAUAACUUUCAAUUUAUAACUCCAAAUUGAGCGCAUAAAUACUCGUUGGAAAGGUAAGGUAAAGUUCUACAUGAUCCCCAAACUGAUUUCCCUUAAUUCCUCACGAAAAAAACACAGAAACUGCUAGACUACUGCUGUUCACCCACCACCUAAAAUUCUGGACAGCCCCCCUCUACCCAAUCGCAAACGCAACCUCUAAUCAAUUAAAUUGCAGCGCAAAUGAACAAGGGAUGAACACAAAAAUCACCUUGGAUUCUCCCCCUUUCCUUCCUCCCUUCUUCCCUCCACCAAAACGAUUGAAGACUCGCACCACGACGACGAUGAUCCGAGCGGCAAGGAUUGUCACCUUGGGAGGAGGGGAUUGGGGGGG